This is a long non-coding RNA of Hipposideros armiger (great roundleaf bat), 1045 nucleotides long. RefSeq lists it as uncharacterized. The record is from RefSeq and is a predicted model, not a curated record. Lineage: Eukaryota; Metazoa; Chordata; Mammalia; Chiroptera; Hipposideridae. The transcript is spliced from 3 exons.
UCUUUCAGCCCUUCACCGUUCUUUGGCAUCCCUGUAGAUGGUCAUUCAGGCUCACCAUGAGCAUUGCCACAGAUAGGCAGCUUGCUGCCCACCAACAGUGGGUCCACACAUCAUCACUGGUCUCUGUGUAACAUUUGCAACUCAAAUGCAGCAAUCUUGAGCUCGCUCUCCUGAACAGCACAAAGACCGUUGUCUGAACCCAAUGAUAAGCCUGAUGGCAUGCAGGCCCGUCUACUGCAGUUCAUAGAGAAAGAAUUCCAGGACCCACAUCAGGAUUGGGAAGAGUGGAUCCAGCAGGGCAAAUGGAGACCAUCCAGCACAAUAUUACUGCACCAUUAGGAGCUUAAGCAGAAGCAGGUUACAGAAGCCAGAAAAAAGCCAUUAUUGCCAACACCUGAAAAAGCCGCUAUUGCCAACACCUGAAGAAGCCGCUAUUGCCAACACCUGAAGAAGCCGCUAUUGCCAACACCUGAAGAAGCCGUUAUUGCCAAAAACAAGGAGUUAUUGUUGGCCCUGACCGCAUCCUGUUUUUGCAUCUGGAGAUUCCGCCUGGCCGGAGCAUGGCUUCUCCCUCAAACAGGUUUGAAUUUAGUUCCUGGAACCUACCCUGGUUCCUGGUCCUGCUGGGUCCUCACAAGGACAUAAUUCAAGAGUUACGAGGAUGGACAAGGCAUCUACACUAUAAACACAUCAGCCCCCAAAUGGAGGCGACACCCCAAACACUGUGAGAACUGAGAAACCAGUUGGCCGUUGUUCAGUUAGUCAAUACAUAUGAGUGUUUCCUACCUGCCUGGCGUGGCCCACUUCCUUCCCAUCUUAACCCAAAUGACAUCUUUCCUUGAGGCCUUUUCUGGCCGUGCCAUCUAAAAUUUCCCUCCGCCAUACACAGAUUUCCUAUGCACCCUUUUCUGGUUAGCUUUUUCCUUAGCACUCAUCAUGAUCUAGCAGAGUCUAUAUUUUACUUAUUUAUCUUAGUCAUUGUCUGUCUUCAUCACUAAAAUGCAAGCUCCAAGAAGACAGGUGUCUUUACUGCUAUUUCUACAGU